This 335-nucleotide long non-coding RNA is filed under the name Homo sapiens (human). RNAcentral describes it as "non-protein coding lnc-PTF1A-1:1". Lineage: Eukaryota; Metazoa; Chordata; Mammalia; Primates; Hominidae. The record is from RNAcentral.
AUGAUGCCAUCCCACACCAAUCUGGCUACUGGAAUCCCUAGUAGCAAAGCAAAAUACUCAAGGCUCUCCAGCACAGACAGUGGCUACACUCACCUCCUAAGGUUUAAAAAAGGCCUUCCUAAGAUGCCUUAGAAGGCCAUUGCAGUCACCACUGUGCUGUUUCUGAUUGGCACCUUUCUAUUAUCAUAGGCUCCCUCCUGCUGUUGGGCUACAUCAGCAAAGUGGGGACAGACUAGGUUGUUCCAGUUCUGAUCACUGGCAAUUUGGUGUUCCUGCCGAAUGCAUCCAAAAGCUACCAGGGUUACUCCUACCAUGGCCUUCCAGACUUUGACGAC